Molecule: long non-coding RNA, 573 nt
Organism: Oncorhynchus tshawytscha (Chinook salmon)
Lineage: Eukaryota; Metazoa; Chordata; Actinopteri; Salmoniformes; Salmonidae
Source: Ensembl
CUCUCCCUGUUCGGGUGGUGCUCGGCGCACGGCGUCGCCGGCCUACUAGCCAUCACCGAUCCUUUUUUCCUUUUCCGUUUGUUUUGUCUUUGGUUCUUUCACACCUGGUUUCAUUUGCUUUAAUUUCUGUGUGUAUAAUUACCCCUGUUGCCUGCUAAGGUUUGUGCGACAUUAUUCGUGUCAUGUUUCUUGUCGAGGUUGUGCCUUGUUUAUUUUCACGUUUUAUACCGAGUGUGUAUCAGUUUAAGGAGCGUUGUUUUCCUCCUUCCGUGAGUAAUUGGUUUUUAUUUUUUGUCGAGAGCGUUUAUUUUGGUAUUUGUACCUGACCUACAUGUUUGUGGACUUGCCUAUUAAAAAGAAAUGCUACUCGGAACAUCUCUGCUUUCCUGCGCUUGACUCCUUCACCUACCUCUAAACACAGUCUCGUAACAACCGUGUCAUUUUAGAAGAGAAGACAUCACUUGGCGCAGAGUCAGCAGAGUCCACACCGCUGUUCAACCCGACUUGCUUACCUCAAUUAUUCACAUCUUAUGAAUAACGCACAUUACCAGAGAUGGCGACAGGGAUAUUUUU